CGGCUGCGCGAGCUCGUGGCCAGCGGAAGGGCCCCACCUCCCGCGGGCUACUACUGCGGCUGCGCAAGGCGGCCGGUCGCAGGGCCCCUCCAGGGCCUGCAGGGAGGUCCUAGCCGCGUCCACCCCGACUGGGGUGGGAAGAGGGCUCCUCUAGCAAAUGAAUUCUGAAGAUGCCAAGUAAAAAUAAUCCCAACAAAUACACAUAAAAAUAGAGUUAAAUUUUCUGAACUGUUUCCCUGCCGGGGAAAAUAAGGUUCCGCGGCGUGUACACCAGUCACCACCAUGAGCCACAACUGGGGAAGUCCAGGCUGCCGGCGCCGGGGAAGAGGCCGACCGCGAGCUCACCCUACUGAACGCUCAUCACGACACUCCCUCACUGCUCUCUCAGGCCAAAGAAAGCCUGUGAUCCAUAGUCCGGAUUAAAAAGGACUUCUUGAGUAGAGGUCAUAACUGAAAUGUUUUAACCUGAUGCCUGUUCCCACCUUCUUCCUAUGAUGAUUCCUUUGACCAGUCAAGUCAUUUUCCAAGAUAAGUGUUCUUGAGGAUGAAAUUCAAGCACAUAAAGACUCUUAGCUAGAUGACUUCUUUCUAAAGUAAUUUUCUUUCUAGAGUUUGAACCUCUUCAGAAAUAAAAUCUCUGACAGCUGCCUCUUCAGUUUUUCCCCUUAGCCACAACUAAAUCAAUUUUGAGAAAAUAACACUCUCCAAAAUAAAAAUACCUCAAACAAAGCAGCUUUUUAUUUACAGUAAGUCUUGAGAUAAGAAGGGAAGAACUAAGAAAGGCAGAGACACCCAUGACCUCCAGAGUAGAUUUAGGUCUAGUCAAAGACUUGGAAAGCCAAAUAGAGUCAGACAGCUCCCUAAUGACUUGCCCUAGGUGGCUCUUUAUUCCUUUUGAAUGGAAAACCUAACCUAACUCAAAUUUUCUAUUCAAAAUACAGCAUACUAAGAUAACUGAUGGCAGAAUUAUGCUUGAUUACGUCCCUUAGCAGAGAGGAAGCAGGAAAUGAAGAUGACCAGUAAGUCUCUGGACCAGGAAUGGUUGCAACAGAGUCGUUCUAUUCCUUCUGCCUAGACUCUCACUCCCAGCUCCCUUGCCCGUUUUUCCAUCUAGAAGUCAAACAUUCCAUCCUCUCAGUCUUCUACAAUCCCCCAAGCAGAAGUGACUUUUAAAAAUCUUAUGCCACCAGUGUCUUUGUACCUCUCCAUUGUAGGAUUUAUCACAAUUAAAUGUAAUUACUUAUGAAUUUGUCACUCCAGAGAUAAUCUUUUAUUGACAGCAUAUCACUACCCUCUAGAACAGAGCUUGGUAAGUGAAUUCAGUAAAUAUUCAUGGUAGAAAAGAGUGAAUAUAGAACCCAGUGAAGUAAGGCUAGCUGAAAGGUGAGAGAAACAGGAAAGCACAACUAGAGAAUCCACCUGGUGCCAGAGUUCUAAAUUAAGGGGCAGGUAAAAUGUGUAGGUGUCUUUUUAGGGUUUCUUAGCAAGGCUGAUAUACAAGUUUCAGAUAAAGCUAUGGAUAAGUUAAAAGAUUGCUUAACUGUUUUCAAAGCCAGAGUCAAUACGUACCAAAUCAGAACAUACAAAAAGAAAGAAAUUCUACAGUGCUAGAAAUGCAGUAAAACAAAUAUGUACUGGUAGAAUAUUUUCAUCCUUUAAAAAAAGUUUUGUUCUUUGGAGAGAUUUUAAAAAAUAAAAGGGCACAAAACCCUUGAUAGGAAAAGAAAAAAAAAAAAAAAGAGAAGCUGCAAUGAAAGCAGUAUUAAUAUUAUAAGCUAUAAACU
This is a long non-coding RNA of Canis lupus familiaris (dog), 1784 nucleotides long. RefSeq lists it as uncharacterized. The record is from RefSeq and is a predicted model, not a curated record. Lineage: Eukaryota; Metazoa; Chordata; Mammalia; Carnivora; Canidae. The transcript has 4 exons.